AAAAAAACAAAUUGCCAGCAAAUCUUUACAUGUAUGCGAAAAGCAUUUUGAAGAUCACGAAGUUAAUAGAAAUUCAGCUAGAGCAAGACUUAUACCAGGAUCUUUACCUUCAAAAAAUUUACCAAAAAGGAGCGUUCAAACAUCUAGUUCCUUAGCAAUAUCAAAACUUCCAACAUUAAGUAUUGAGUUGAAAAAAGAUUGCUGUGAAAUUGACAAAGUUCAAAAUGAUGUACAUUCU
Non-coding RNA from Hydra vulgaris (swiftwater hydra), 238 nucleotides. The record is from RefSeq and is a predicted model, not a curated record. NCBI's taxonomy places the organism in Eukaryota, Metazoa, Cnidaria, Hydrozoa, Anthoathecata, Hydridae.